AGGCUGUCAUGUUUUGCCUCUUCCCACCAAGUGAUAUCUGUAUCCAAGACACCAAUUCUACCUCUCUUACCCCAACCCUUUUUUUUUUCUAGUAAAGUCCUGAAGCUACUUUGAAUAGUUUCCAGCAAAGACUUGGGUGAAGAGUUCUGGCCACCACACAGACAUUCAACAGCUGAAUGGCUUCAGCAAAUGAAUGAUCAGUUUCAGGUUCAACUGGAGGUUGGUUUGCAGAGAAGUGGAAUGGAUAAAGCUGUAGAGUGUGGGAACAUCUGAGAGUAAAUUCAUCUCUUCCUUGGUCUCAAACCUUGCCAUGAAUGCGUUGAGUCAUGAGUGUCUUGGAUUUUAAUGAAGUUAAGAUGUUGUCCUCUAUGACAUCAGCGUCACUGCAGGCUACAGGGAAAUGGUCAAGCCCAACCAAGGAUUGAAUGCUUCGACUCUCCACCUGCCUUUCCCCCAGGGUUGAUCUCUUCCAGACCUUGAAUGCUUUCCUCUCGAGUGAUGGUGUCCCCAGAGCAA
Molecule: long non-coding RNA, 516 nt
Filed under: Numida meleagris (helmeted guineafowl)
Lineage: Eukaryota; Metazoa; Chordata; Aves; Galliformes; Numididae
Description: lncRNA (ENSNMEG00000005601.1)
Source: RNAcentral